GACGAACGCUGGCGACGCGCUUAACACAUGCAAGUCGAACGGAAAGGCCUGCUUUCCCUUGUGGAUUGCGGGUACUCGAGUGGCGAACGGGUGAGUAACACGUGAGUGAUCUGCCCCCAACUUGGGUAUAAGCCUGGGAAACUGGGUCUAAUUCCCGAUAGGACUGCAGGGUGGUGCCUGUGGUGGAAAACGAUUUUCUAGUGGUUGGGGAUGAGCCCGCGGCCUAUCAGCUUGUUGGUGGGGUAAUGGCCUACCAAGGCGGCGACGGGUAGCCGGCCUGAGAGGGUGGACGGCCACAUUGGGACUGAGAUACGGCCCAGACGCCUACGGGAGGCAGCAGUGGGGAAUAUUGCACAAUGGGCGGAAGCCUGAUGCAGCGACGCCGCGUGGGGGAUGACGGCCUUCGGGUUGUAAACUCCUUUCGACCGCGAGGAAGCCACCUGGUUGGAAGGGUGGUGACGGUAGUGGUAGAAGAAGCACCGGCUAACUACGUG
RNAcentral lists this ribosomal RNA (494 nucleotides) under uncultured bacterium. Its description in RNAcentral is "partial 16S ribosomal RNA". It matches the Rfam family "Bacterial small subunit ribosomal RNA", at positions 28 to 507 of the family's 1533-position model. The record is from RNAcentral.